Molecule: ribosomal RNA, 2933 nt
Filed under: Escherichia coli
Lineage: Bacteria; Pseudomonadati; Pseudomonadota; Gammaproteobacteria; Enterobacterales; Enterobacteriaceae
Description: 23S ribosomal RNA
Rfam family: Bacterial large subunit ribosomal RNA
Source: RNAcentral
GGGUUGUGAGGUUAAGCGACUAAGCGUACACGGUGGAUGCCCUGGCAGUCAGAGGCGAUGAAGGACGUGCUAAUCUGCGAUAAGCGUCGGUAAGGUGAUAUGAACCGUUAUAACCGGCGAUUUCCGAAUGGGGAAACCCAGUGUGAUUCGUCACACUAUCAUUAACUGAAUCCAUAGGUUAAUGAGGCGAACCGGGGGAACUGAAACAUCUAAGUACCCCGAGGAAAAGAAAUCAACCGAGAUUCCCCCAGUAGCGGCGAGCGAACGGGGAGCAGCCCAGAGCCUGAAUCAGUGUGUGUGUUAGUGGAAGCGUCUGGAAAGGCGUGCGAUACAGGGUGACAGCCCCGUACACAAAAAUGCACAUACUGUGAGCUCGAUGAGUAGGGCGGGACACGUGGUAUCCUGUCUGAAUAUGGGGGGACCAUCCUCCAAGGCUAAAUACUCCUGACUGACCGAUAGUGAACCAGUACCGUGAGGGAAAGGCGAAAAGAACCCCGGCGAGGGGAGUGAAAAAGAACCUGAAACCGUGUACGUACAAGCAGUGGGAGCACAGAGCAAUCUGUGUGACUGCGUACCUUUUGUAUAAUGGGUCAGCGACUUAUAUUCUGUAGCAAGGUUAACCGAAUAGGGGAGCCGAAGGGAAACCGAGUCUUAACUGGGCGUUAAGUUGCAGGGUAUAGACCCGAAACCCGGUGAUCUAGCCAUGGGCAGGUUGAAGGUUGGGUAACACUAACUGGAGGACCGAACCGACUAAUGUUGAAAAAUUAGCGGAUGACUUGUGGCUGGGGGUGAAAGGCCAAUCAAACCGGGAGAUAGCUGGUUCUCCCCGAAAGCUAUUUAGGUAGCGCCUCGUGAAUUCAUCUCCGGGGGUAGAGCACUGUUUCGGCAAGGGGGUCAUCCCGACUUACCAACCCGAUGCAAACUGCGAAUACCGGAGAAUGUUAUCACGGGAGACACACGGCGGGUGCUAACGUCCGUCGUGAAGAGGGAAACAACCCAGACCGCCAGCUAAGGUCCCAAAGUCAUGGUUAAGUGGGAAACGAUGUGGGAAGGCCCAGACAGCCAGGAUGUUGGCUUAGAAGCAGCCAUCAUUUAAAGAAAGCGUAAUAGCUCACUGGUCGAGUCGGCCUGCGCGGAAGAUGUAACGGGGCUAAACCAUGCACCGAAGCUGCGGCAGCGACGCUUAUGCGUUGUUGGGUAGGGGAGCGUUCUGUAAGCCUGCGAAGGUGUGCUGUGAGGCAUGCUGGAGGUAUCAGAAGUGCGAAUGCUGACAUAAGUAACGAUAAAGCGGGUGAAAAGCCCGCUCGCCGGAAGACCAAGGGUUCCUGUCCAACGUUAAUCGGGGCAGGGUGAGUCGACCCCUAAGGCGAGGCCGAAAGGCGUAGUCGAUGGGAAACAGGUUAAUAUUCCUGUACUUGGUGUUACUGCGAAGGGGGGACGGAGAAGGCUAUGUUGGCCGGGCGACGGUUGUCCCGGUUUAAGCGUGUAGGCUGGUUUUCCAGGCAAAUCCGGAAAAUCAAGGCUGAGGCGUGAUGACGAGGCACUACGGUGCUGAAGCAACAAAUGCCCUGCUUCCAGGAAAAGCCUCUAAGCAUCAGGUAACAUCAAAUCGUACCCCAAACCGACACAGGUGGUCAGGUAGAGAAUACCAAGGCGCUUGAGAGAACUCGGGUGAAGGAACUAGGCAAAAUGGUGCCGUAACUUCGGGAGAAGGCACGCUGAUAUGUAGGUGAAGUCCCUCGCGGAUGGAGCUGAAAUCAGUCGAAGAUACCAGCUGGCUGCAACUGUUUAUUAAAAACACAGCACUGUGCAAACACGAAAGUGGACGUAUACGGUGUGACGCCUGCCCGGUGCCGGAAGGUUAAUUGAUGGGGUUAGCGCAAGCGAAGCUCUUGAUCGAAGCCCCGGUAAACGGCGGCCGUAACUAUAACGGUCCUAAGGUAGCGAAAUUCCUUGUCGGGUAAGUUCCGACCUGCACGAAUGGCGUAAUGAUGGCCAGGCUGUCUCCACCCGAGACUCAGUGAAAUUGAACUCGCUGUGAAGAUGCAGUGUACCCGCGGCAAGACGGAAAGACCCCGUGAACCUUUACUAUAGCUUGACACUGAACAUUGAGCCUUGAUGUGUAGGAUAGGUGGGAGGCUUGGAAGUGUGGACGCCAGUCUGCAUGGAGCCGACCUUGAAAUACCACCCUUUAAUGUUUGAUGUUCUAACGUUGACCCGUAAUCCGGGUUGCGGACAGUGUCUGGUGGGUAGUUUGACUGGGGCGGUCUCCUCCUAAAGAGUAACGGAGGAGCACGAAGGUUGGCUAAUCCUGGUCGGACAUCAGGAGGUUAGUGCAAUGGCAUAAGCCAGCUUGACUGCGAGCGUGACGGCGCGAGCAGGUGCGAAAGCAGGUCAUAGUGAUCCGGUGGUUCUGAAUGGAAGGGCCAUCGCUCAACGGAUAAAAGGUACUCCGGGGAUAACAGGCUGAUACCGCCCAAGAGUUCAUAUCGACGGCGGUGUUUGGCACCUCGAUGUCGGCUCAUCACAUCCUGGGGCUGAAGUAGGUCCCAAGGGUAUGGCUGUUCGCCAUUUAAAGUGGUACGCGAGCUGGGUUUAGAACGUCGUGAGACAGUUCGGUCCCUAUCUGCCGUGGGCGCUGGAGAAUUGAGGGGGGCUGCUCCUAGUACGAGAGGACCGGAGUGGACGCAUCACUGGUGUUCGGGUUGUCAUGCCAAUGGCACUGCCCGGUAGCUAAAUGCGGAAGAGAUAAGUGCUGAAAGCAUCUAAGCACGAAACUUGCCCCGAGAUGAGUUCUCCCUGACUCCUUGAGAGUCCUGAAGGAACGUUGAAGACGACGACGUUGAUAGGCCGGGUGUGUAAGCGCAGCGAUGCGUUGAGCUAACCGGUACUAAUGAACCGUGAGGCUUAACCUUACAACGCCGAAGGUGUUU